Non-coding RNA from Crenichthys baileyi (White River springfish), 128 nucleotides. Lineage: Eukaryota; Metazoa; Chordata; Actinopteri; Cyprinodontiformes; Goodeidae. The record is from the annotation of a GenBank genome assembly.
UGCACGGUGGCGCAGUUGGUAGCACUGUUGCCUUGAUAUGAGUGGCUGCACGGUGCUCAGUUGGUAGCACUGUUGCCUUGCAGCAAGAAGGUCCUGGGUUCGAUUCCCGGCCGGGGGUCUUUCUGCAU